UUAGUAGGCAUAGCCCGGUGAAAAUCGGAUUAAUACCCUGUGUUGUGUCAUGAGGACAUCUGAAUAACACUAAAGAUUUAUCGCGUAAGGGAUGGGGAUGCGUCCGAUUAGGUAGUCGGCGGGGUAACGGCCCACCGAGCCCUCGAUCGGUAGGGGUUCUGAGAGGAAGGUCCCCCACACUGGUACUGAGACACGGACCAGACUCCUACGGGAGGCAGCAGUGAGGAAUAUUGGUCAAUGGGCGCGAGCCUGAACCAGCCAAGUUAGCGUGCAGGAUGACGGCCCUAUGGGUUGUAAACUGCUUUUAGUACGGGGAAUAAAGUGAGGGACGUGUCCCCUAUUGUAGGUACCGUAUGAAUAAGGACCGGCUAAUUCCGUGCCAGCCGCCGC
This 390-nucleotide ribosomal RNA is filed under the name uncultured bacterium. RNAcentral's name for it is "bacterial SSU rRNA". It matches the Rfam family "Bacterial small subunit ribosomal RNA", at positions 133 to 518 of the family's 1533-position model. The record is from RNAcentral.